UGGGGAAUUUUGGACAAUGGGCGCAAGCCUGAUCCAGCCAUGCCGCGUGCGGGAAGAAGGCCUUCGGGUUGUAAACCGCUUUUGUCAGGGAAGAAAUCUUCUGAGUUAAUACCUCGGGAGGAUGACGGUACCUGAAGAAUAAGCACCGGCUAACUACGUGCCAGCAGCCGCGGUAAUACGUAGGGUGCAAGCGUUAAUCGGAAUACUGGGCGUAAAGCGUGCGCAGGCGGUUUUGUAAGACAGAGGUGAAAUCCCCGGGCUCAACCUGGGAACUGCCUUUGUGACUGCAAGGCUUGAGUGCGGCAGAGGGGGAUGGAAUUCCGCGUGUAGCAGUGAAAUGCGUAGAUAUGCGGAGGAACACCGAUGGCGAAGGCAAUCCCCUGGGCCUGCACUGACGCUCAUGCACGAAAGCGUGGGGAGCAAACAGGAUUAGAUACCCUGGUAGUCCACGCCCUAAACGAUGUCAACUGGUUGUUGGGAAGGUUCCUUCUCAGUAACGUAGCUAACGCGUGAAGUUGACCGCCUGGGGAGUACGGCCGCAAGGUUGAAACUAAAUGGAAUUGACGGGGUCAUAGCUGUUUCC
This 583-nucleotide ribosomal RNA is filed under the name uncultured bacterium. Its description in RNAcentral is "partial 16S ribosomal RNA". It matches the Rfam family "Bacterial small subunit ribosomal RNA", at positions 355 to 937 of the family's 1533-position model. The record is from RNAcentral.